AAACCAACCGGGAUUGCCUUAGUAACGGCGAGUGAAGCGGCAAAAGCUCAAAUUUGAAAUCUGGUACCUUCGGUGCCCGAGUUGUAAUUUGGAGAGGGCAACUUUGGGGCCGUUCCUUGUCUAUGUUCCUUGGAACAGGACGUCAUAGAGGGUGAGAAUCCCGUGUGGCGAGGAGUGCGGUUCUUUGUAAAGUGCCUUCGAAGAGUCGAGUUGUUUGGGAAUGCAGCUCUAAGUGGGUGGUAAAUUCCAUCUAAAGCUAAAUAUUGGCGAGAGACCGAUAGCGAACAAGUACAGUGAUGGAAAGAUGAAAAGAACUUUGAAAAGAGAGUGAAAAAGUACGUGCAAUUGUUGAAAGGGAAGGGCAUUUGAUCAGACAUGGUGUUUUGUGCCCUCUGCUCCUUGUGGGUAGGGGAAUCUCGCAUUUCACUGGGCCAGCAUCAGUUUUGGUGGCAGGAUAAAUCCAUAGGAAUGUAGCUUGCCUCGGUAAGUAUUAUAGCCUGUGGGAAUACUGCCAGCUGAGACUGAGGACUGCGACGUAAGUCAAGGAUGCUGGCAUAAUGGUUAUAUGCCGCC
This 573-nucleotide ribosomal RNA is filed under the name Saccharomyces cerevisiae (brewer's yeast). Its description in RNAcentral is "partial large subunit ribosomal RNA". It matches the Rfam family "Eukaryotic large subunit ribosomal RNA", at positions 62 to 649 of the family's 3401-position model. The record is from RNAcentral. Lineage: Eukaryota; Fungi; Ascomycota; Saccharomycetes; Saccharomycetales; Saccharomycetaceae.